RNAcentral lists this ribosomal RNA (387 nucleotides) under Lizzia sp. RNAcentral's name for it is "partial small subunit ribosomal RNA". It matches the Rfam family "Eukaryotic small subunit ribosomal RNA", at positions 582 to 975 of the family's 1831-position model. Lineage: Eukaryota; Metazoa; Cnidaria; Hydrozoa; Anthoathecata; Bougainvilliidae. The record is from RNAcentral.
AUUCCAGCUCCAAUAGCGUAUAUUAAAGUUGUUGCAGUUAAAAAGCUCGUAGUUGGAUUUCGGAAUGGGUCAGUUGGUCCGCCGCAAGGUGAGUUACUGACUGAUUUGUUCUUCUUCGCAAAGACUGCGUGUGCUCUUUACUGAGUGUACGUAGGAUUUACGACGUUUACUUUGAAAAAAUUAGAGUGUUCAAAGCAGGCUAUCGCUUGAAUACAUGAGCAUGGAAUAAUGGAAUAGGACUCUGGUUCUAUUUUGUUGGUUUCUAGGACCGAAGUAAUGAUUAAGAGGGACAGUUGGGGCCGUUUAUAUUUCGUUGUCAGAGGUGAAAUUCUUGGAUUUACGAAAGAUAAACUUCUGCGAAAGCAUUCGGCAAGGAUGUUUUCAUUA